GAAUGGAUUGAUCAUUGUCUUCCGUGAUGAUCUUUUGAUGAAGAGUAUUUAAAAAUUAACUAUUAAUUAAUAUAUGUCUCAAAUUUCAACACUUUGAGAAUAUACAAAAAUUAUCUUUGUUAAUUUUUAGGAUAAAUUAUGGACAUAUAAUAUAAUUAGAAUGAAAAAGCUAUUUAUUGAUAAUAAAAAUAUUAAAAGUAUAAGAUUAAAUCUUAGAAUUAUAAAAUAUGUUAGCCAAUAAUUGACUUCUAGGGCAUAAAUCUAACAAACUCCUACUUGACCUGACGUUAAUUGGCCAUAUACCUAAGAUCCAUCUUCUCAAGAUGCGCUUCGAUCUUCUGCUGGCUGAGAGGCUUGGUUAGUGAAUCUGUCACAUUUAGCACAGAGUCAACUCUCUGUACCUCGAUGAACUUCUUCUCGAGGUAUUCGCAUAUGAUGUAAAACCACCACUCUAUAUACUUGGACUUCUGGUGAGACCUAGGCUCCUUAGCGAGGGCUAUGACGUCGUUGUUAUCGCAGUGCAAUGCAAUGACAUCUGAUAGCAUCACACCCAGCUCCACUAUGAACU
Molecule: long non-coding RNA, 568 nt
Filed under: Elaeis guineensis (African oil palm)
Lineage: Eukaryota; Viridiplantae; Streptophyta; Magnoliopsida; Arecales; Arecaceae
Description: long non-coding RNA (EGUI_LNC075796)
Source: RNAcentral